GCCAGUGUGGUGUAGUGGUUUUAUUGUUGGACUAGGAUUCCAAGAGACCAGGGUUCAAGUCCCUGCUUGGCC
RNAcentral lists this transfer RNA (72 nucleotides) under Phrynosoma platyrhinos (Desert horned lizard). RNAcentral's name for it is "tRNA-OTHER". It matches the Rfam family "tRNA". Rfam says of the family: Transfer RNA (tRNA) molecules are approximately 80 nucleotides in length. Their secondary structure includes four short double-helical elements and three loops (D, anti-codon, and T loops). The record is from RNAcentral. Lineage: Eukaryota; Metazoa; Chordata; Lepidosauria; Squamata; Phrynosomatidae.